AGCGUAACAAGGUUUCCGUAGGUGAACCUGCGGAAGGAUCAUUACCGAGUGCGGGUCCCCUUCGUGGGACCCAACCUCCCACCCGUGAUUAUUGUACCUCCUGUUGCUUCGGCGCGGCCCCCCGGGGCCCGCCGGAGACAUCUUCUCGAACGCUGUCUUUGAAAAGGAUUGCUGUCUGAGUAAACAUACCAAAUCGGUUAAAACUUUCAACAACGGAUCUCUUGGUUCCGGCAUCGAUGAAGAACGCAGCGAAAUGCGAUAAGUAAUGUGAAUUGCAGAAUUCAGUGAAUCAUCGAAUCUUUGAACGCACAUUGCGCCCCCUGGUAUUCCGGGGGGCAUGCCUGUCCGAGCGUCAUUACUGCCCCUCAAGCGCGGCUUGUGUGUUGGGCCGCCGUCCCCUGCGCCUCCGGGCAAGGGGGACGGGCCCGAAAGGCAGUGGCGGCGCCGCGUCCGGUCCUCGAGCGUAUGGGGCUUUGUCACCCGCUCAGUAGGUCGGGCCGGGGCCUUUGCCCUCUCCAACCUUUUUUUCCUUAGGUUGACCUUCCGG
This 547-nucleotide ribosomal RNA is filed under the name Monascus sp. (in: ascomycete fungi). RNAcentral's name for it is "eukaryotic LSU rRNA". The stretch from base 202 to 355 matches the Rfam family "5.8S ribosomal RNA". The record is from RNAcentral. Lineage: Eukaryota; Fungi; Ascomycota; Eurotiomycetes; Eurotiales; Aspergillaceae.